RNAcentral lists this ribosomal RNA (1938 nucleotides) under Triticum aestivum (bread wheat). Its description in RNAcentral is "partial small subunit ribosomal RNA". Lineage: Eukaryota; Viridiplantae; Streptophyta; Magnoliopsida; Poales; Poaceae. The record is from RNAcentral.
AUGCAGCAUAAAGCGGAAGCUCCACUGGUGAAGCAGAUGAGAACUUGCCACCUUGUGGAGCCUAAUCUUGUGGGAAAGGAAACUUUACAUGCUUGCACAAGGUUGGUUGAACUGAUGCUUCCACAAAAGAAAAAGAAGGCGUACAAGGUUGGGAAGACAACUCUGGCUCAGAAAAUAUAUAAUGACCAAAAAAUAAAAGGAGCAUUUAGCAACCGAGCAUGGAUCUGUGUUUCUCAGGAGUACUCUGAAGUUGCUCUAUUGAAAGAAGUUGUUCGAAAUUUUGGUGUACAUCAAGAGCAAGGUGAAAGUGUGGGAGAGCUCAGCAGCAAGCUUGCAGAGGCCAUUCGAGGAAAAAGUUUCUUUCUUGUGCUAGAUGAUGUUUGGCAGCCUCAGGUGUGGACCAAUCUGCUGAGAGUUCCAUUCCAUGCUGCUGCAACCGGAGUAAUUCUAGUAACCACUCGACAUGAUACAGUUGCACAUGUAAUUGGGGUGGAGGAUGUGCAUCGAGUUGAGUUGAUGGCAUUAGAUGUAGGAUGGGAACUGCUCUGGAAGAGUAUGAACAUUAAUCAAGAAAAUGAUGUGCAAAACCUUCGGCAUAUAGGCUUGGAAAUUGUGUGUAAAUGUGGCGGACUUCCCCUUGCAAUCAAAGUUACUGCUAGUGAUCUAGCAACUAAAGAGAGAACUCAGAAUGAGUGGAGAAAGAUUAUGGAGAGAAGUGCAUGGUCUAUGUGCAAUCUUCCAAUCGAGCUCAGAGGUGCUCUGUAUUUGAGUUACGAUGAUCUGCCACGGCAUUUGAAGCAAUGCUUCCCCUAUUUGACCUUAUAUCCAGAAGAUCAGUACAUGUACCGUGAUGAUCUUAUCAGGCUUUGGAUUGCUGAAGGCUUUGUUGAGGAGCAUAAAGAACAACUUCUGGAAGAUACAGCUGAAGAAUAUUACUAUGAGUUGAUGUAUAGGAAUCUACUGCAACUAGACCCUUUGCGUUUUGACCGUAGCAUGUGCAAAAUGCAUGAUCUCUUGAGGCAACUUGCUCAACACUUUUCAAGAGACGAAAAUUAUUGUGGUGACCCACAAUCAUUACAGGUUACAACUCUGUCCAAGCUACGGCGUGUUUCAGUUGUCACUGACAAAGAUUCUUUAAUGCUCCCCAAUGUGGACAAAGAGAAGAUUAGAGCAAGGACACUGUUAAUUCAUUCUACUAAGAAAUUGAGUGUUGAAAAUACAAUUUUCAAGAGGCCACCAUGCAUCAGAGUUUUAGAUCUGACUGGUUCAUCUAUAAAAAGCAUUCCAGAUUGUGUUGGUGGUUUGAUCCAUCUACGACUUCUUGAUCUAGAUGAGACAGCCAUAUCUUGUCUUCCAGAGUCAAUCGGUUCUUUGACAAACCUUCAGAUACUGAACUUGCAAAGGUGCAAAGCUCUGCACAGCCUUCCUUCUUCGAUCACACAAUUGUGCAAUUUAAGGCGCCUUGGUCUAGGUGGUACACCGAUAAAUCAGGUGCCAAAAGGGAUAGGUAAACUAGAAUUCCUCAAUGAUCUGGAAGGAUUUCCUAUUGGUGGUACAAGUGAUGAUGCUAAUACACAAGAUGGAUGGAAGUUGGAAGAGUUAGGGCAUCUUUGGCAGCUAAGGCAGCUUCACAUGAUCAAAUUGGAAAGAGCAGCUCCUAGUACGGCAAAUUCUUCAUUGUUAGGAGGCAAAAAGUAUCUCAAAUUUUUGAAUCUUUGGUGCAGUCAACGUAAAGAAGAACCAAAUUCAGAUGAUAUCAGCAAUAUUGAGAAGAUUUUUGAGCAGCUAGUCCCUCCACUCAACUUGGAAAAGCUUAUUAUUGUUAAAUUCUUUGGUCGAAGCAAUUUGGCAGCUAGCCAGCCUGAGAUAUCUGAAAAUUGUUGGAGCAAGCGCAAUUACCAAGAUCUGACCCGAAUUUGUUGGAUGCGGGGAGGCUAA